RNAcentral lists this long non-coding RNA (258 nucleotides) under Mytilus galloprovincialis (Mediterranean mussel). The record is from RNAcentral. Lineage: Eukaryota; Metazoa; Mollusca; Bivalvia; Mytilida; Mytilidae.
UUAAGGUAGAUCAUAAGUAAAUGUUUUUUGAGACAGAAUUUUCUUAUAAUUUGACAAAAUGAAGAUUUUCCUAUGCUUUUUUCAAAAAUAUAAUAAAAAGUAUGGGUCACCGUGCUAUUUUUCAAGCUAUGAGUCGUUGAAAAUUGCCUUAAUUUGGUUAGUUUGUUCAUGAAAAAACACAUAACAGUGCAUAAAAAAAAUUCUAUGAGAUAGAAUUUUGAAAUAAAUUGUGAGAAGAUAGGUUUUAUAAUAUGUUUU